RNAcentral lists this ribosomal RNA (94 nucleotides) under Staphylococcus devriesei. RNAcentral describes it as "partial 23S ribosomal RNA". It matches the Rfam family "Bacterial large subunit ribosomal RNA", at positions 1 to 93 of the family's 2925-position model. The record is from RNAcentral. Lineage: Bacteria; Bacillati; Bacillota; Bacilli; Caryophanales; Staphylococcaceae.
AGAUUAAGUUAUUAAGGGCGCACGGUGGAUGCCUUGGCACUAGAAGCCGACGAAGGACGUUACUAACGACGAUAUACUUUGGGUAGCUGUAAGU